GGGCCCGCGCCGGUGCGGCACUAGAUCUGUCAAAUCGGGUGGCAGGGGUUCAACUCCCCUCGGGUCCA
RNAcentral lists this transfer RNA (68 nucleotides) under bacterium. Its description in RNAcentral is "tRNA-Asp". The record is from RNAcentral.